CGCCAGACUCCUACGGGAGGCAGCAGUGGGGAAUAUUGGUCAAUGGGCGGAAGCCUGAACCAGCCAAGUCGCGUGAGGGAAUAAGGCCCUACGGGUCGUAAACCUCUUUUGCCGGGGAGCAAGGGCGGGGACGUGUCCCGGCCCGGAGAGUACCCGGAGAAAAAGCAUCGGCUAACUCCGUGCCAGCAGCCGCGGUAAUACGGAGGAUGCGAGCGUUAUCCGGAUUUAUUGGGUUUAAAGGGUGCGUAGGGGGGGUUUUAAGUCAGGGGUAAAAAUUCGGGGCCCAACCCCGUCCGGCCGUUGGAACUGGGGGCCUUGAGUGGGCGAGAAGAAGGCGGAAUGCGUGGUGUAGCGGUGAAAUGCAUAGAUAUCACGCAGAACUCCGAUUGCGAAGGCAGCGUACCGGCGCCCAACUGACGCUGAAGCACGAAGGCGUGGGUAUCGAACAGGAUUAGAUACCCGUGUA
This 466-nucleotide ribosomal RNA is filed under the name uncultured bacterium. RNAcentral describes it as "bacterial SSU rRNA". It matches the Rfam family "Bacterial small subunit ribosomal RNA", at positions 329 to 792 of the family's 1533-position model. The record is from RNAcentral.